GUAGGGGGCUAGCGUUGUCCGGAUUUAUUGGGCGUAAAGAGCGUGUAGGCGGCCAAGUAAGUCCGGUGUGAAAACUCGAGGCUUAACCUCGAGAUGUCAUCGGAAACUAUUUGGCUAGAGUCCGGAAGAGGAGAGUGGAAUUCCUGGUGUAGCGGUGAAAUGCGCAGAUAUCAGGAAGAACACCUAUGGCGAAAGCAGCUCUCUGGGACGGUACUGACGCUGAGACGCGAAAGCGUGGGGAGCGAACAGGAUUAGAUACCCUGGUAGUCCACGCCGUAAACGAUGGGUGCUAGGUGUGGGCGGUGUCGACUCCGUCCGUGCCGAAGCUAACGCAUUAAGCACCCCGCCUGGGGAGUACGGCCGCAAGGCUAAA
This 373-nucleotide ribosomal RNA is filed under the name uncultured bacterium. RNAcentral describes it as "bacterial SSU rRNA". It matches the Rfam family "Bacterial small subunit ribosomal RNA", at positions 527 to 898 of the family's 1533-position model. The record is from RNAcentral.